This 253-nucleotide ribosomal RNA is filed under the name uncultured bacterium. Its description in RNAcentral is "partial 16S ribosomal RNA". It matches the Rfam family "Bacterial small subunit ribosomal RNA", at positions 524 to 776 of the family's 1533-position model. The record is from RNAcentral.
UACGGAGGGCGCGAGCGUUGUUCGGAAUCAUUGGGCGUAAAGCGCGUGUAGGCGGCUGGGCAAGUCGGAUGUGAAAGCCCGGGGCUCAACCCCGGAAUUGCAUUCGAAACUGCCUGGCUCGAGUCUCGGAGAGGAGGGCGGAAUUCCCGGUGUAGAGGUGAAAUUCGUAGAUAUCGGGAGGAACACCAGUGGCGAAGGCGGCCCUCUGGACGAUGACUGACGCUGAGAUGCGAAAGCGUGGGGAGCAAACAGG